Molecule: ribosomal RNA, 393 nt
Filed under: uncultured bacterium
Lineage: Bacteria
Description: partial 16S ribosomal RNA
Rfam family: Bacterial small subunit ribosomal RNA
Source: RNAcentral
AUACGGAGGACGCGAGCGUUAUCCGGAUUCAUUGGGUUUAAAGGGUGCGCAGGCGGCCGUGCAAGUCAGCGGUGAAAGCCCGGGGCUCAACCCCGGAAGUGCCGUUGAUACUGCAUGGCUGGAAUGCGGUCGAGGCGGGCGGAAAGGGGCGUGGAGCGGUGAAAUGCGUAGAUAUGCCACAGAACGCCGAUAGCGGAGGCAGCUCGCAAGGCCUGCAUUGACGCUCGGGCACGAAAGCGUGGGGAUCGAACAGGAUUAGAUACCCUGGUAGUCCACGCCGUAAACGAUGGGCGCUCGUCGUCGGCGGCAGACAGUCGGCGGCCAAGCGAAAGCGAUAAGCGCCCCACCUGGGGAGUACGGUCGCAAGGCUGAAACUCAAAUGAAUUGACGGGG